GACGAACGCUGGCGGUGUGCUUAACACAUGCAAGUCGAACGGUAAGGCCCUUUCGGGGGUACCCGAGUGGCGAACGGGUGAGUAACACGUGAGUAACCUGCCCUCAUCUCUGGGAUAACAGUCGGAAACGGUUGCUAAUACUGGAUAUGAGCUUGCAAGGCAUCUUGUGGGUUGGAAAGAUUUUUUUUGGUUGGGGAUGGACUCGCGGCCUAUCAGCUUGUUGGUGAGGUAGUGGCUCACCAAGGCUUCGACGGGUAGCCGGCCUGAGAGGGCGACCGGCCACAUUGGGACUGAGAUACGGCCCAAACUCCUACGGGAGGCAGCAGUGGGGAAUAUUGCACAAUGGACGGAAGUCUGAUGCAGCAACGCCGCGUGCGGGAUGACGGCCUUCGGGUUGUAAACCGCUUUCAAUUGUGACGAAGCUUUUUUGUGACGGUAGCAGUAGAAGAAGCACCGGCUAACUACGUG
Molecule: ribosomal RNA, 468 nt
Filed under: uncultured bacterium
Lineage: Bacteria
Description: partial 16S ribosomal RNA
Rfam family: Bacterial small subunit ribosomal RNA
Source: RNAcentral